Molecule: ribosomal RNA, 450 nt
Filed under: uncultured bacterium
Lineage: Bacteria
Description: bacterial SSU rRNA
Rfam family: Bacterial small subunit ribosomal RNA
Source: RNAcentral
ACUGAGACACGGCCCAGACUCCUACGGGAGGCAGCAGUAGGGAAUCUUCCGCAAUGGGCGAAAGCCUGACGGAGCAACGCCGCGUGAGUGAUGAAGGUUUUCGGAUCGUAAAACUCUGUUAUUAGGGAAGAACAAAUGCGUAAGCAAUUGUGCGCAUCUUGACGGUACCUAAUCAGAAAGCCACGGUAAACUACGUGCCAGCGGCGGGGGAAAUACGAAGGGGGAAGGCGUUACCCGAAAUUAUGGGCCGAAAGGGGGCGAGCGGUUUCCUUAGGUCUGUGUGAAAGCCCACGGUUAACCCUUGGAGGGCCUUUGGAACUGGGAAAUUGGAGUGCGGAGGAGGAAGUGGAAUUCCAGGUGUAGCGGUGAAUGGGCAGAGAUAUGAAGAACACCAGUGGCGAAGCGACUUUCUGGCUGUACUGACGCUGAGGUGCGAAGCGUGCGGAUCAA